UACGGAGGGUGCAAGCGUUAAUCGGAAUUACUGGGCGUAAAGCGCACGUAGGUGGUUUGCUAAGCCAGCUGUGAAAUCCCCGGGCUUAACCUGGGCACUGCAGUUGGAACUGGCAAGCUAGAGUAGGGUAGAGGGGUGUGGAAUUCCAGGUGUAGCGGUGAAAUGCGUAGAUAUCUGGAGGAACAUCAGUGGCGAAGGCGACACCCUGGACUCAUACUGACACUGAGGUGCGAAAGCGUGGGGAGCAAACAGG
This 253-nucleotide ribosomal RNA is filed under the name uncultured bacterium. RNAcentral describes it as "partial 16S ribosomal RNA". It matches the Rfam family "Bacterial small subunit ribosomal RNA", at positions 524 to 776 of the family's 1533-position model. The record is from RNAcentral.